This 205-nucleotide ribosomal RNA is filed under the name Escherichia coli. Its description in RNAcentral is "partial 16S ribosomal RNA". It matches the Rfam family "Bacterial small subunit ribosomal RNA", at positions 908 to 1112 of the family's 1533-position model. The record is from RNAcentral. Lineage: Bacteria; Pseudomonadati; Pseudomonadota; Gammaproteobacteria; Enterobacterales; Enterobacteriaceae.
AAUUGACGGGGGCCCGCACAAGCGGUGGAGCAUGUGGUUUAAUUCGAUGCAACGCGAAGAACCUUACCUGGUCUUGACAUCCACGGAAGUUUUCAGAGAUGAGAAUGUGCCUUCGGGAACCGUGAGACAGGUGCUGCAUGGCUGUCGUCAGCUCGUGUUGUGAAAUGUUGGGUUAAGUCCCGCAACGAGCGCAACCCUUAUCCUU